GUCUACGGCCAUACCACCCUGACCGUGCCCGAUCUCGUCUGAUCUCGGAAGCUAAGCAGGGUCGGGCCUGGUUAGUACUUGGAUGGGAGAAAAAAUCCUAUCAUGUGUCCCCUAUGAUCUUUGUACUAUUGGCU
This 134-nucleotide ribosomal RNA is filed under the name Mustela putorius furo (domestic ferret). Lineage: Eukaryota; Metazoa; Chordata; Mammalia; Carnivora; Mustelidae. The record is from RNAcentral.